CAAUGGCAUUCUCUGUUGUGCCCGCCAACAGACGGGACAGGGUUUCCCACUGGGUCCUUUUGCCUCCUUCUUUGGGCACCGCAGGUCUGGGCUGACCUGAGCUCAAACCCCAGUUCAGGCACCGCCUCCGUCCUGAGACAGGAAGUCUCUGGGAGUCCGGUGUGGGUCCGAGGGUGAUGUCCCCACAUGCCGGGAGGCGGCUCUGCCCAGCCGUCUUCCCCACGCUCCUGACAGCUCUGUGGCUGGGCCCUGGCCACAGCGUCUUCAAGGAGGAGAAAGCAGAGGCCCAGAGAGGCUGAGUGCCUGCCCAAGUCACAGAGGCACUGGGGAUGAGCCACGAGGGCUGAGGCCACAGGACACCGCCAGCCGCCACACCCUGUACCACAGGAGCACCCUGGUGCCAGCUAGGCCCAGGGGCCCCGCGUGACACGGGGCAUGAGGGACGCACGGUCAUUUCCGUUUCAUUUCUGCCAUCCUGGCUGCCUUGAUCCUGAACUGAUUCCAAGCGCUGACUUGCUCUGGUCAUUUUGACCCAGGGAACCAGACGUCGCACAGCGGCAGAGGGGGUGACAGACGGCCCUGCACCUGAGGCCCUCCGCAGCCCGAGGAAGGCGUCCCACCUAUCCCAGGAGGCACAGGGCCGGACACGGAGCUGCUUGGGGAGGACACGGAAGCCCCGCCGAGCGUCCUGGGACCUGAGAGUCACCCCGGGCACUGAGUUCCCACUGACUUCAAAGCCUCCUCGCCCUCAGGGCUCCCGGGGGACAAGGGCUCAGGAAGGCGGCCACUGGCUGUCAGACGCGGGCCGCGAGGCCACUUUGGUCUCAGCCCUGCUGGCUGCUGACGGAACAGCCUGGCCUGGCCAGGGCCGGAGAGGCUGGGAACCAGGCAGCGUCUCCGUCUAGGGUCCCAGGAGCAGCCAGAAACCACGUACAGAGUGAGCUGGGCCCAGAAGGCAAAGGCUCAGAGGCCAGGAC
This 977-nucleotide long non-coding RNA is filed under the name Fukomys damarensis (Damara mole-rat). RNAcentral describes it as "lncRNA (ENSFDAG00000028370.1)". Lineage: Eukaryota; Metazoa; Chordata; Mammalia; Rodentia; Bathyergidae. The record is from RNAcentral.